GACGAACGCUGGCGGCGUGCUUAACACAUGCAAGUCGAACGGAAAGGCCUGCUUUCCCUUGUGGAUUGCGGGUACUCGAGUGGCGAACGGGUGAGUAACACGUGAGUGAUCUGCCCCCAACUUGGGUAUAAGCCUGGGAAACUGGGUCUAAUUCCCGAUAGGACUGCAGGGUGGUGCCUGUGGUGGAAAACGAUUUUCUAGUGGUUGGGGAUGAGCUCGCGGCCUAUCAGCUUGUUGGUGGGGUAAUGGCCUACCAAGGCGGCGACGGGUAGCCGGCAUGAGAGGGUGGACGGCCAGAUUGGAACUGAGAUACGGCCCAGACUCCUACGGGAGGCAGCAGUGGGGAAUAUUGCACAAUGGGCGGAAGCCUGAUGCAGCGACGCCGCGUGGGGGAUGACGGCCUUCGGGUUGUAAACUCCUUUCGACAGCGAGGAAGCCACCUGGUUGGAAGGGUGGUGACGGUAGUGGUAGAAGAAGCACCGGCUAACUACGUG
RNAcentral lists this ribosomal RNA (494 nucleotides) under uncultured bacterium. Its description in RNAcentral is "partial 16S ribosomal RNA". It matches the Rfam family "Bacterial small subunit ribosomal RNA", at positions 28 to 507 of the family's 1533-position model. The record is from RNAcentral.